AGCGUUCCAGUUUGCUUUCCUGAUGCUGUGAUAAACACCAUGACCCAGACCAACCUGGGGAGGAAAGGAUUUGGCUUACACCUGACGUUUCAUCAUUCAUGACCUCAGGAAAAAGGGUCCUGCUAUAUAAAUCCGGCUGUCCUGGAACUUGCCAUGAAGCCCCAGGGCUGACCUGAAACCUACCAUUCUCCUGCCUCAGCGACUGGAGUGUUGGGCCUGCAGGUAGUCACAGAGGAGCGGCUGGCAGAAGAGCUUAAGAAUCAUGCUCUGUUCUCUGGAUAUAGGAGGCAAGAGGAUGUUUUGUCUGGGGAAGACAAAAGUUCCUGCCUGGUUCCUAGAGAAGUUUGAAGUCUAUAUAUUCCCAGAAUCUGUGGACUCAACUUCCUGUUCAUGUUUAUUGCUGGUGUCAAGCUCAUAAAGAACUGCUUGUCCUGUCCCAGAGCUGGGGAUGCGACCCAAAGACUGCGUGCACACUGGGCAAGCACUCACCCCCUGAGUCACGUCUUCAGUCCAUGAGUGACUGGUUUCCUUAUGCUGUACAUGCAUUCACUUACUAAGCCUCACUGUUGUGCCAGUUGGUAGUUUUAUUCUAAUGUUACAGAUGAGAGGACUGGAAAGUCAGAGAGACUAAGUGACUCGCCCAAAAACACAGCCAGAAAGAUGCUGAAGGGGCUGGGGGGAGAGGGGUGAGGAUGGGAACUCCUACUUGGCAGAUUCCUGUCCUUUUUCUUAUUCCAUAGAAGGCUUACAACCACCCUCCCCAUUUUCUUUUCCUUUGUUAUUUACAUCCCUCCCACAGUCAUUCCCAAGACUGACACUUGUGUUUUAUCUGAUAUGGAAAUUUUAUAAGCACAUCCCUGCUUGGGUCUGUCAUUCUUCAGGGCCCAUCUUCCCUUUCAUGUCACCAUCUUUCGAUCCUCAUUUGUGCUCUACUUUUAAAGCAGUGUCAGACAGCUUCUGAUUUCUGGGAUCUGUCAAGAUGUUACAUAGCCCUGUACUCACAACACAGAGUUCCCUCUGCCAGGAAGGGAUUGAAGACCCACCCCCCCCACAUACACACCCUCUCCACAUUGUAAAUCUUCCCCCAUGCCACGAAAUGCACCAGUACUGACAAAGAAAGAAAUCGGGGACAGAGGAUAGAAGCUGUCAGUAUUUACAUACCUCACCUUGAUUACCUGAAAUAACCAAGGGAAUCAACUGCAAAGCUAAUGAGACGACUCAGUAGUCAGUGCCAAGGUGUAGACACAUCACUGAAUGGAUCUCCUAAUCACCCACAGUAACU
Long non-coding RNA from Mesocricetus auratus (golden hamster), 1282 nucleotides. RefSeq lists it as uncharacterized. The record is from RefSeq and is a predicted model, not a curated record. NCBI's taxonomy places the organism in Eukaryota, Metazoa, Chordata, Mammalia, Rodentia, Cricetidae. The transcript is spliced from 4 exons.